GCGAAAGUGGCGGAAUUGGUAGACGCACUGGAUUUAGGUUCCAGCGCCGCAAGGUGUGGGGGUUCGAGUCCCCCCUUUCGCACCA
RNAcentral lists this transfer RNA (85 nucleotides) under Thiobacillus sp. Its description in RNAcentral is "tRNA-Leu". It matches the Rfam family "tRNA". Rfam says of the family: Transfer RNA (tRNA) molecules are approximately 80 nucleotides in length. Their secondary structure includes four short double-helical elements and three loops (D, anti-codon, and T loops). Lineage: Bacteria; Pseudomonadati; Pseudomonadota; Betaproteobacteria; Nitrosomonadales; Thiobacillaceae. RNAcentral also lists the same sequence under 22 other names. The record is from RNAcentral.